RNAcentral lists this long non-coding RNA (1828 nucleotides) under Mus musculus (house mouse). Its description in RNAcentral is "Mir9-2 host gene". The record is from RNAcentral. Lineage: Eukaryota; Metazoa; Chordata; Mammalia; Rodentia; Muridae.
GGACAGAGCACCCGGACCCGCGGCAGCGGCGGCAGCGGCGCUCCCCACCCUCCACCGCAGCACUCAUCGAGCCAGGAAACCACCAAGCCACGGGCCCUCGGGGUAAGCCACAGUGUGCACACCACAGCGAUGGUGACUCCAAUGAGGGAGAUUAGAAACAGAAAAGAUUACAGAGAGAUCAGAGAUAAGAGGUGUACCUCUCUCUGUCCCUUGUCACACAGCGCGCGUGCACAUGCAUUUGUACAAACAUGCAUGCUCAUACAGCAAUACGUUCCACAUUCUUUGCUACUUCCAUCUAAAUACAUGCACCGACACUCUAUGCCCUGCAGCGUGGCCAGUGUGUUUGUCCUGAUCCUGCAUAAAAGGGGACAGGUACGUGCCAGAACACAGGCAAGAAUAAACAGCCACGCACAAUUGAAUUGCAGCCAAACUCAGACAUUCAGCCUGCUGAAUUAAUCCAUUCGGCCAGGUUUCCCCCACCCCAACCGGAAUUCUGUAACCAGUUGAGGAAUUCUGCAAUUAUUCACAAAAUGUGCUGAAAUUUCACCUCAAGAAACGUAAUCUUGCUAUAUAUGGCAAGGUAAGGGUGAACCUGAAGGGUGGAUGUGUUUCCAUUUUUUAAUGUUUUACGCAUAGCCAUCUGACCACUUUUUAUUGGGUGACAUAUCAUAUGAGCACUUUCGUGUAGGCUUGGAAAAACUAUAGCCAGAGGUAAGGCUGGAAAAUGCCAUAAGAAUUAAGGGUGCUGAAAAUGGAUGCUAGAGAGUCCAAAAGGAGAGAUGGCAUACAGCUGUAGGUUGAGAUGGGAGGAAAUAUAUGUGAAUAUUUAUACACAAAAGCCGUUGGGGAGGGCUGAGUCUUGCCUCGAGUAUCUGUGCAGGUAAGUCAUUCAUAAGAAAACUAAUUACCUGUGCAUGGACUCAGACUUGUUUCAUCGAAAGAGCUGCAUGUGUGCACAUUUUCUGUUCUUUGUGGUUAUGCAAUUAUGGAUUGUCUUUUUUACAAGAUAGCUUUAGGGAAUGUUAAUAUGUAAUUUAAAUAUACAUAUAUUCAAUAGUCCUUGUGCUGAAUAUUGCCAAGAAGGAAAAACUAUAUCCUAUAAACACGAUUACUAUUGCUUGAAAUCCAGCUCAAGGCCUGUAUAUUUUAAGGCACAUAGCCUGCUUUAAUAUAGUUAGCUGUUUUGUCUGUGUGGUUUCACUUCAAAGUCUGGAAUUAAGGAUGCUUUGCAGUCAAGAUAAUGUGCUUCCAUCUAUAUAGAGACAAAAUAAAACUCAGUACAUUUUGAGUGCUGCAGACAUGAUACAACAUACAGCAUGGUUGAAAAAUGUCCUCCUUGCAGAUGGCUCUCCAUUGCUGUCUCUACACAUUUUUAAAUAGAUUUUUGUUUUGCAAGAAACGUUAGAAAGCAAUAGCUAGUGAAUACCGCAUUCCCUCGGUUAAUGAGCACAAUUCUUUAGUAAUCGUUGGAAUCCCUUCACUCACACAUACUUUCUCAAAUAAAUUGGCUCCAACCUGUGUUUAUACUUAUAUGAAGUUAAUCAGACAAUCAAACUUUGAGCCUCAAAACAGUAGGCAUUAUAGUCAAUGGAGGGGUAUGUAAAGAAAGACAAAAAGGAAUGUGUUUCUUUUAUGGUCAAACUAGGAUGUUCCCCCAGUUGGCGUUGGAUACAUAACACAAAUGCAUAUUUGUAAUCUUAAGUAAAUAGAAGGUAGGCAACUGUGUGGAUAAUCUAGCUAGAAAUAGCAAACAUUAGCCAAAAAAAAAAAAAAGACAGAAAAUAAAAAGUCAGAACGGACAACAGAGACAGAUAGACAUAAUAAAACA